UCGCCUCUUGUUAAACCAUAAGAGGUCCCGCCUGCCCUGUGACAAUGUUCAACGGCCGCGGUAUUUUGACCGUGCAAAGGUAGCGUAAUCAUUUGUCUUUUAAAUGAAGACCCGUAUGAAAGGCACCACGAGAGUUUAACUGUCUCUAUUUUCUAAUCAAUGAAAUUGAUCUAUUCGUGCAGAAGCGAAUAUAAUAACAUUAGACGAGAAGACCCUAUGGAGCUUUAAACACUUAAGUUAAUUAUGUAACCAUUUAUUCCUCAGGGUAUAAACAAAAUAUAUAAUACUUCUAACUUAACUGUUUUUGGUUGGGGUGACCGAGGGGGAAAACAAAUCCCCCUCAUCGAUUGAGUACUCAGUACUUGAAAAUCAGAAUAACAAUUCUGAUUAAUAAAAUAUUUAUCGAAAAAUGACCCAGGAUUUCCUGAUCAAUGAACCAAGUUACCCUAGGGAUAACAGCGCAAUCCUUUCUCAGAGUUCCUAUCGAAGAAAGGGUUUACGACCUCGAUGUUGGAUCAGGACAUCCUAAUGGUGCAACCGCUAU
This 544-nucleotide ribosomal RNA is filed under the name Mustelus antarcticus (gummy shark). RNAcentral's name for it is "partial 16S ribosomal RNA". It matches the Rfam family "Bacterial large subunit ribosomal RNA", at positions 1816 to 2565 of the family's 2925-position model. Lineage: Eukaryota; Metazoa; Chordata; Chondrichthyes; Carcharhiniformes; Triakidae. The record is from RNAcentral.